RNAcentral lists this transfer RNA (73 nucleotides) under Thermoplasmatales archaeon. RNAcentral's name for it is "tRNA-Pro". It matches the Rfam family "tRNA". From Rfam's summary of the family: Transfer RNA (tRNA) molecules are approximately 80 nucleotides in length. Their secondary structure includes four short double-helical elements and three loops (D, anti-codon, and T loops). Lineage: Archaea; Methanobacteriati; Thermoplasmatota; Thermoplasmata; Thermoplasmatales. The record is from RNAcentral.
GGGCCUGUGGGGUAGCUUGGUAUCCUACCAGCUUGGGGUGCUGGUGACCCGAGUUCAAAUCUCGGCGGGCCCA